AAUGAGAGUUUGAUCCUGGCUCAGGACGAACGCUGGCGGCGUGCCUAAUACAUGCAAGUAGAACGCUGAGGUUUGGUGUUUACACUAGACUGAUGAGUUGCGAACGGGUGAGUAACGCGUAGGUAACCUGCCUCAUAGCGGGGGAUAACUAUUGGAAACGAUAGCUAAUACCGCAUAAGAGUAAUUAACACAUGUUGGUUAUUUAAAAGGAGCAAUUGCUUCACUGUGAGAUGGACCUGCGUUGUAUUAGCUAGUUGGUGAGGUAAAGGCUCACCAAGGCGACGAUACAUAGCCGACCUGAGAGGGUGAUCGGCCACACUGGGACUGAGACACGGCCCAGACUC
RNAcentral lists this ribosomal RNA (344 nucleotides) under Streptococcus agalactiae BSU253. RNAcentral describes it as "bacterial SSU rRNA". It matches the Rfam family "Bacterial small subunit ribosomal RNA", at positions 1 to 338 of the family's 1533-position model. The record is from RNAcentral. Lineage: Bacteria; Bacillati; Bacillota; Bacilli; Lactobacillales; Streptococcaceae.